RNAcentral lists this transfer RNA (74 nucleotides) under Victivallales bacterium. Its description in RNAcentral is "tRNA-Gly". It matches the Rfam family "tRNA". From Rfam's summary of the family: Transfer RNA (tRNA) molecules are approximately 80 nucleotides in length. The record is from RNAcentral. Lineage: Bacteria; Pseudomonadati; Lentisphaerota; Lentisphaeria; Victivallales.
GCGGGUGUAGCAUAGUGGUAAUGCCCUGGCCUUCCAAGCCAGUCAGGUGGGUUCGAUUCCCAUCACCCGCUCCA